RNAcentral lists this ribosomal RNA (242 nucleotides) under uncultured bacterium. RNAcentral's name for it is "partial 16S ribosomal RNA". It matches the Rfam family "Bacterial small subunit ribosomal RNA", at positions 15 to 253 of the family's 1533-position model. The record is from RNAcentral.
GAUCAUGGCUCAGGAUGAACGCUAGCUACAGGCUUAACACAUGCAAGUCGAGGGGCAUCAGGAUGUAGCAAUACAUUGCUGGCGACCGGCGCACGGGUGAGUAACACGUAUCCAACCUGCCUUUUACUCGAGGAUAGGCUUUCGAAAGAAAGAUUAAUACCCGAUGGCAUAAUAUUUCCGCAUGGGAUUAUUAUUAAAGAAUUUCGGUAAAAGAUGGGGAUGCGUUCCAUUAGGCAGUUGGG